CCUGUGUCGGGUAAAUGGGAGACGUGAGGUUGUGCCACUGGGGGAGAAUUGUCCCAGGGCUAUUCAACAGUCCAGAGUCUUGGGCCGUUCCAACCUAUAUCUGCUUCCAAAGUGAGCAGCAGCCCCAGCCGAUGAAUCCUUUGCACGUGGAGGAAAGGCAGCCUGAAGAAGGCCAUAGGCAGCCCCAAGUGGCGAUGUAAGUGAUCUUGAGCGUACUCGGAUGUGCAAAAUAUAACACCAAUAAUAAAAGAUUUUGCUACAAGU
Molecule: long non-coding RNA, 264 nt
Organism: Cololabis saira (Pacific saury)
Lineage: Eukaryota; Metazoa; Chordata; Actinopteri; Beloniformes; Belonidae
Exons: 3
Source: RefSeq, a predicted model, not a curated record